RNAcentral lists this ribosomal RNA (497 nucleotides) under uncultured bacterium. RNAcentral describes it as "partial 16S ribosomal RNA". It matches the Rfam family "Bacterial small subunit ribosomal RNA", at positions 28 to 507 of the family's 1533-position model. The record is from RNAcentral.
GAUGAACGCUGGCGGCGUGCCUAAUACAUGCAAGUCGAGCGAACAGACGAGGAGCUUGCUCCUCUGACGUUAGCGGCGGACGGGUGAGUAACACGUGGAUAACCUACCUAUAAGACUGGGAUAACUUCGGGAAACCGGAGCUAAUACCGGAUAAUAUAUUGAACCGCAUGGUUCAAUAGUGAAAGAUGGUUUUGCUGUAACUUAUAGAUGGAUCCGCGCCGCAUUAGCUAGUUGGUAAGGUAACGGCUUACCAAGGCGACGAUGCGUAGCCGACCUGAGAGGGUGAUCGGCCACACUGGAACCGAGACACGGUCCAGACUCCUACGGGAGGCAGCAGUAGGGAAUCUUCCGCAAUGGGCGAAAGCCUGACGGAGCAACGCCGCGUGAGUGAUGAAGGUCUUCGGAUCGUAAAACUCUGUUAUUAGGGAAGAACAAAUGUGUAAGUAACUAUGCACGUCUUGACGGUACCUAAUCAGAAAGCCACGGCUAACUACGUG